AGCAAAGUACUUUCUGCAGCAUCUUUCCUCUCUGUCCCAGUCUUAAACUCAGCAAGGUACCUGUGGUAAUCACCCUUCAUUUUGAGGUAAAAGACUUUACUUUCGGGAGAUGCAGCAGAAGGGAUGAGGUUGGACUCGAGGAGGUUCAAAAUCCCAUCACAGAUCUUGCUGAGCUCGGUCUCAAUCUUUCCCCUGUACUCCUUUAUAAUAGCAACGUGGUCCUCAUUGCCUCUGCUCUCCUCCUUCUGCUCGAUGGAGGAUAUGAUCCUCCACGAAGCCCUCCUCGCCCCAAUCACGUUCUUGUAUGCCACAGAGAGAAGAUUCCUCUCCUCCACAGUCAACUCCUCAACCUCCACAGUCUUCGCAACCUUCUCCAUGAACUCAACCAUCUCCUCGUACCGCUCAGCCUGCUCGGCCAACUUCGCCAUGUAAACGUUCUCCUCCCGAGAAGAAUCUGCCAUUUCUCUGAUUCGCGAACUUCACGUAAUCCUGCAAUGCAAUCACAUCGUAGUUAAAAUGAAUUCAUUCAAGAUCUAAAAAUAAUUCAAGUUUUAACAAUUUUGAAUAGUUUAAUAAACAAAACUACACUCAAUUUUAAAAUUAUUAAUUUAUUUUAGAAUAAAAAAAGAAGAAUCGGUUUCACUACAACUCGACACACAAAACGAUCCGUUUCUCAGUUUAAACUUGUUUUCCCUCGUACGAAGAGAAAAUUGGUCAACAACACGAUAUGCAGAAACAAAAAUCUAGGAGGCAUAAUCGGAAUCGGAAGGAAAAAUGAAAAUAAAGAAAAUUAGAAGUGAGUGGUGAGAAUGAAAACCUAGAAAUAGAAGAUGCAGAUCUGGAUGAUGAAACCUAGGAGAAACAAAAUAGAGAAAAGAAUGCGCGGAAUGAAACCCUAAAAAAGAGAUGAAAGUGCGAUGAUGAGGUAAGAGAGAGUGGAGAACGAACCUGAAGCAGAGAGAGAGAGAAUGAAAAUGAAUAAAGGGAGAAAAACACGAGAAAUGAAGGCGUUGAUAUAGGAGAGGAUAAUCCAAUGAAAAUGUGACACGUGGCGGAUGGCGGAGAUUCCGUGAGAAGUGGGAAACGUUGGUUGACCGGUGUUGAGGAAUGUGAAUGUGUAGUGUAGCAGUCGGGUCAGUAGGGUUGUCUCUGUGCUUUUAUACAACAAUUUUAUAAAAAAAUAUAUAUUUUAAAAAAAUUAUACGUUUUAGUUUAUGAAUGAAAAAUUAUUUUUUAUUUUUUAUAAUUUGAUUAUACAAUUUUUAUUAAGUGUACUCGAACUGGGUUUUGGGUUUGGGGACUGGGAGAACUAUUGUCUCCAGGUGUCACUCGGUCGAUCGUGUCUCACGUUCUUUCUAUCUUCUUCGUCGAACGGCUCCUCAGACUGGUGGGGUACCUGCAAAUGGUACUCCGACACUCAAGUCAAUGGGAUGUCGUAUUCGGCGCUCAAGUCAGUGAGAUGUCGUAUUCGGCUGGUUAGAAUACUGUAGAUAAUGACGUAACUUCUUUCUUGGAAUGCGUGACAUUUAUAUUACCUUGAUGGACCCUUGCUGUUGGGCCGGAUUAGAGGGUUGUUUAGCGAUUAGGAUUGAAUUAGGUCGUUUCCUAACCAUGGGUUAGCCUUUACUAAUCGGGUCAACCUUUGACUUGAACAUCUUAUGUCGGUCGACCACAUAUGCCACUUGGUCGACCUCGUACCUUAAGGUGUGAUGGUUGCGUGAGUUGACCGGGUCAACCCCAGUACAUUAAGAUUUAAUAUUUUUAUUAAGAUUUUGAUUAAAAUUAGUGAUGAAAUAUUGUUAUUUAGAUUGAAGUGGGCCCAUCUUGGCCUCGCAACUCACGGUAACAUUGAGCAUUCAUCAUGUUUUGUUUUUUCUUCGUCAACUUUUAAUCUGUGUUCCGUGCUUUCACUGGACCCCAAACAAGCCACUAGUUACUGCUUAUAAAACCGAUGCAUAUCUCUACACGAUGCCAAAUAUUAUUUAUUAUUAUUAUUAUAGGAACGAAGGUUAGAGGUUUUAGUACCCGAGAUGACUAAAUUGUUAAAACUUAGCAAAAGAUUAAUCAGUUUAAAAUAGUAAUUAAAUAUGUUUUUAAUUAUGAUUUAAACGUUAAAUUCUAUCUAUAAUAAUAUAUAAAUAGUCACUCACUUUUUAAGAAAAAAAUAAAUUAUCAUAUAUUAAUUGUAUCAAACAUUGAAUAUAAAAAUCUUACUUGAACAUCAGAAUAUCUUUACAGAUACCAUUAAGAUAGUAAAGCGACCAAAUCAAGAUAGGAGAUAAUAGUUCUCUGAGUCUUGAUCCGUAAUUUGGAUUCUGAUUUACAUAAAAAUGAUAAUUUAAUGAAAUAUUUCUUAGGAGUUGUUGUAGAGUAAAAUAACAAGAGUGAUUCUAAAAUGAGACAAUAUUGUUCUCGCUAAAUUGAUUUUCCAGUUGUUUAUUCAGUAAACAUUAUAGUCAAUGAACAAGAACAAAAGUAAGAAUUUUGUAGUAGAAACUUUGUAAUUCUCUCUCUCUAUUUUUUUUUCUUUUUUUUUUUAACUUAUAAUGCGACAUUGUUUAUAUCGGUUGAGGAUAGUUAAGUUAAAUGUAAAUAAGUUGGUAUGGUUGAAAUAUAUGAAAUAAAAUUAAAAUUAAAGAUAGUUAUUAGAAUAAAUGUGUAGAAAUAAGUAAGAAAUAAGAGAUUAUGUUUUACAAUUUUUUAAAGUUAUUUAAGAUAAUAAAUAUGUGGAGUAAUGUGUGAAACCUAAUUGGUUUGGUUGAUGUGACUAGACAUGUCCUACCUAACGAGUGUACCAUUGUGGAUUGCUCACAGAACUUUACUUCAUUUUCACCGUCACUUCAGAAUUUUGUCAACUUGUUUAGGUUUAGUUAAUGCUUUUCAUAAAUACACGGAAAUGGUUUCAGAUUAUUUUAGUGUUCAUUGUAUUAAUUGUUGAAUUGUCAUGUUUAUGAGCUACUUAUUUGAGUGGUUGAGCCUUCAAUGGUCUAAGGCUCCUUAGAUUUACUUUUGAUAGGAGACUAGAUGAAGCUCACUGGUCAAUAGAUGAAAGUAGAAGUACUUUACCAACACUUUAAUGCUCUGUUUCUAAAAAGACAGAAUUUUUUUUUUUUUUCUAGUCAUUUAGACGGAUGAAAAGGCGAAGAAAGUUGAAUGAGGGUAUAAGGUAUCUCCUCAUAGUUGAGAAGAGAAGAAAGUGGAACCCAAUAGAGAAAAGCUAAGUAAGAUUUUUUUAGUUUCCAUUUUUGUCCCAAAUAAAUGUUUUUGUCCAAUGUAAUAUUUGAAUUGAAAAUAUUUUCAAAAAUAAUUUUCUUAUAUUAAUAAUAAUAAAAACCAUCAGUAAUAUUACUUUUCUUAUAUAAAAAAAUAUGUACUUAAUAUAUAUAUAUAUAUAACAUAAUGUAAUAUAAAUUAAAUAACUAUAAUUAUUUAGAUUAAUAUAUAUAUAUAUAACAUAAUGUAAUUUAGAUUAAUAAAAUAAAAAUAAUAUGAUUUUAUUUAAAUUUUUAAUUUUAUUUCUUUAUUUUAAUUUUACAUUUUUUAUUUUUAUUUAUAAUUGUAAUUUUAUAUUAAUCAACUAAAAUAUGCACAAAAUUAAUUAUUAUUAUUUUUUUCUUUUUUAUACACAAGGGUAAAUUUAUAAUUUUGUAAUUCACACUAUUAAAAAUAAUUCAAAAUACUCUUACAACCAUUUCAUCACUCACAAACUUCGAUAAACUUUCUUCACAAAUCCACUUUAACAUACCUUAAUCCAAAUAACCUCACUUUCUUCACACUUUCCUCUUAAAUCACUACAAAUCCACUUCCUCAAAUCCCAAGAGAAUGAUAAUAUAUGAAAAAAGAAAAAAAAAAUAUACAUAUGUUAUAAGUAAUGAUAUUUUCACAUAUUUUUAUUAUUGUGAUGGGCUACUAUAUAUGUUAUAUUUAUAGAUAGUGAUAUCUUGAAAUCAGUUAUAUACAUAUAUGUUAUAUUUAUGAAUAAUGAUAUAUUGAUACUAGUUUUAUACAUGGUGGUCGAGGGUUGUAUAUGCUAUAUUUAUGAAUAAUGAUAACUUAACAUCAAUUUCAUACAUAGUGGUCGACUAUUACAAUGUUAUAUUUAUAGGUAAUGAUAUAUUAAUACCAAUUUUAUACAUAAUAUCGACUACUAUAUACUUUAUAUUUAUGGAUAAUGAUAUUUUGAUAUCAGUCCAUAUAUAGUGAUAUAGUGAUUUACUGAUAUAUUUAUGAAUAAUGAUAAUCAGCAAUCAAUAAACUAAAUAAAAAAGGAAACACAAGGGUAUUUCAACUCAAACAACUUCUCUAAGCAUCCAGCUAGUGCAAAUUUCACAAAACAAAGCAAAAAUAUCCACUGAUAAGCAAGAAACGCUAAACGACUUCACACAAGAAAGGAGAAAAACCCCUCUCAUACAAAAGGCAUAAGGGAAUAAACUAAGGCCAAACCGUAGUUCAAGUGCAUCCAAAAUACUAAACCAAAUAUGUUUAAAACAUCAAUCUUCAGCUAGCCAUACUGAAAAAAUCAUCCAUGGGCAACACGAAUGACUUGCUUGCCAACGUUCUUGCCAUGGAAAAGUCCAACGAAAGCAGCUGGAGCACUUUCCAAGCCUUCAUUCAUGUCUUCAAUAUACACAAUCUUUCCCUGCUUAUAGUAAUUUGAGACAUCUUCCAAAAAGCGCGGGUAUAGAUUCAAGUAAUCACUUUGCAGAAAACCCUGCAUUCUGAUGCGCCUUGAAAUGAGGUUGAAUAAAUUGUAUAUUCCAAUGGGCUUGGAAGGGUUUUGCUGAGAUACCAUCCCACAAACUGCAAUUCUACCAUGAAUCUUCAUGUUAAGGAGUGCAGCAUCAAGCAUGUUCCCACCCACAUUGUCAAAGUAGAUGUCAAUGCCAUGUGGAAAAUACCUGUCAUGUAAGCCAGGAAAAAUUGUGUUUGUGACUGGAGUUUUGAAUGUCAAAGUCAUGAAGGAUAACUAACCAGUGAGAAGUAGAAAUAGUUGUAAACUUAUUUCUCAAGAACACUUUUAGAAAAACCAUUUUGUUUCCAUAGACAAUAGCUAACAAUUCAAUUGUUCACAAACCUUUGUAGAGCCGCAUUCAAGUCUAAUUCUUCUUUGUAGUUAAAAGCUUCAUCGAAGCCAAGCUUAUUCUUUAGAAGGUCAACCUAACACAACAAAUUCAAUGAGAAAAUUAACAAAGUACUAGGUUCAAGUAUCUGUGUGUGCAUUCAUGUGUCUAAAUGUCAAUACUUCAUCUAUUUUUAUAUGUUGGGAAUCCCUCCUUAUUCUAAUGGCGACCAUAACCAAUGAAUCUUGAUAACUGAUCCAUUGAAUAAUGGUAAUUCCAAAAGUCUUGGAAUUAUAACUCUUUUUUGAAAAUGUGAUGAACUUUAAUUACCCACUAUGUCUUUAUGUGAUAAACUUUCCUCUCAUUCUCUAUAUAAAGAGAACUUGUGAGGAAGAGAAAAACAAACAAGUGAGAAAACAACCUAGAGAGUUGAUAUCCACCAUAGUGUGAGAUUAGAAAUCCUAGUGAAAGGUUAGAGAGAAGUUGUAUUUCAUCAUUCUUGGGUGAGAUUGAGUGUUUUCUCACAGAGUGAGAUAAACAAAUAUUGUAAUCCUACUUUCAUAGUGAAAACAUUUUCAUAUUGAAGAAGUUUGCAACCUUAAAAAUUAUCAGUGUCAUUAUUCUAUUUGCUCUAUUUUCUAUUAUUUGUUUAUUGCUUGCGUAAGUGUUCAUUUUUUAUCUACACCAAAGAGAGAGAAUUAAUUCUGAUUUUCCUAACAAUAUACAGAAAAAGGAACAACUAAUUCAAGCAUUCAGUUUUACUUUCGGCAAUCAUUAGUGAAGCUGACCUUUUCCUUUGAUCCAGCACUUCCAACAACAUAGCAACCUUGUAACUUGGCAAGUUGCCCUACAAGCUGACCUACAGCACCAGAUGCUGCAGAUACAAAAACAUAUUCUCCUUUGCUUGGGCUGCAAACCUCAAAAAAUCCCGCAUAGGCAGUAAAACCUGGCAUUCCUAUAAAAUUAAAGAAAAAAUGAAUGGCUAAUUAUUUAUCAAACUAGACCACCAGUAGAAGACUGGAAGUGAUUUCAUUUCCAUACGUAAGUCAAAUAAAGAAAAACACAGAGGCUGAAUGUUGAAAGGAUUUGCAAGGUCAAAACAACUGUGCCAUAAAAGACAUGAUUGCAUAAAAUAUAACAAAGGAACUCUCUAAUAUUAGAGGAUUCCCUCCAACCAGAUGAGACGAAAAUAAUGAAUGAGCUCAAAAUGGUGCAAUCCUACAUUAUCAAUUAGUGACUAUAAUGUUCAACAACAGAGUGAAUCUAUAGGCAAAAAAAAAAAACUAUCAACACUUCCAGCAAACUAAAAUCCAAAUCUGGUGGCACUCGGUUAUGAAUCAGGGCGAUGUUGGGCCAAAAUUCCGAAAAAAGGGAAGUUACACAUAGCAGUGCAUUCUAUUCUGUCAUAAUACAUAUAGGAGCCAUACACAAUCUAUUCUGCUCGGAUUGUUAAAGGGUGCAUUAAUUCUCCCCUAAAGUUGAUAGGUGAAUUAAGUCACAGUCCAAUAGUAGUGUUUAGACUCUUAUACUCUUAGUUUAGACUGAUAUACUCUUAAUUAGAAAGAGAAAUAUUUGCGCUCAUAGUAUUAGCUAUAGAUAACAAUGUACUCAUAAAUCAUAUGAGUAAGCACAAGCAAAGAUACCAAUACCAAACGUGAUUGACAUUUGGAUACAACAAACUUGUAUAAAAUUAUAAGAUAUAAAUCCAAAUAGGAGACAAAAGAAAGAAAAAAGCAUGUGUUGGAAAGUCGAUAGUAAUAAUUGAGGGGAGUGGCAUACCAAGAAGACCGACAUGGAAAGAGAGAGGAAUGCGGUCAUCAGGUUCAAUUUUUCUGAGCUGGUCUGUUCUUUUGAUGAGGCUAUACUCUUCCCAGCCAGUGAACCCGGUAAUGAAAUCACCAGGCUUGUAAUUUGGAUUAUCAGAGUGUAUAACUUUCGACACACCAAAUCCUUCAAGUGCCUUCAUCAAAACACACAGGAAUCAGUUAUUCACUGUAUCACAUGGCGUCAUAUUAUAACAUAAUUAAAUCAUCAGAAGAUUUUAAGUCUAAUUUUAUCUUAUAAUGUGAGGUUUACAUAACUAUUAAAUGUUGUAAUCUCUAGUCGAUAAACCCUAAACCCCUAACAGUGAAUGAUUUGUAACUUGAUUUACACCUAUUUAUAAACUAUUAAAUGUCCUAAACUCAAUGUGUUUUGUAACCUGACUAUAAAUGAGUUUUGCAUCUAAUUAUAAACUAUUAAAUGUACUAUUCUCUACUAAUGUGGAAUCUCUAACAGUGAGUGGUUUGUAACCUGGCCAGGGACAAACGGAGGGAUAUAAGAUCCGUGGAAAUCACGCAUGCGACCGCGCAUGUAAGGAUCGCAAGAGAGGUAAAGGUUUUUGACGAGAAUUGCUGCGGAGCCUUGCGGCGGAGGGUUGAGCUCGAGAUUUGAAAGCUUGAGCUCCAUAUCUGUUUCUUUAGGAAUAUCAUCUAUGUAGCCUUUGAAUGUGACCUUCUUGUUCUGCACUACUUCUUCUGCCAUGGUGGGAGAAGAUCCAAUUCAAAUGAGGAGAAGAGAACUACUACUACUGGUUCUUGGCUCAAAGUUCAACAGUGGAAAAUGUUUAUUUGAAUCAUGACGUGUGCACCUAAUCACCUCGUUCUCCAAGUAGCUAGAUUUGGAUGCCGCGGUCUUCUUCAUUCUACCUACCACCCUCUUUACUUCUUCCAACCGCCAAUUAGCAGAAACACGAAUACAAAUAUUAAUACGGAAAAACAUAUAAUCUUUAAAAUAAAAAAACAUAAAUUUAUAUGAUAUAAAUUAAUAAUAAAGAUUUAUGUAUAUAUUAUGCCUUAAAUAAGUUUAAAUAAAAAUAAUAAUUUUUAUAACUGAUUUAAAGAAAUUUGUUCGUUUAUUUUUAUAAUUUCAAUAAAAAUUAAUAUAAUAAAUUUUGAGUUUUAAAAAAUUAAUAUAUUUUUAAUUGUGAUACAAUAUACUAAUCUCAUACGCCACUUUAAUUGUGAUACGAUUUAUGUACUGUACAAAUCUCAUACGCCACUCUUGGGUUCAGUAGAAUCAUGUAAGAGCAAAACUAUACUUUUUGUUUGGAAUGGAACACCAGUACACAGUGGAAAUAUAUAAAUACAUUUUCUUAUAAAUAUGUAUUUCCACAGUUUUUCUUUUAGUUUUUUGGUCGCUACUUUUAUUUUAUUUGACAUGACUAAUAUAUUUUUUUCUAAAUAAUAAAAAUAUUAAAAAGGUAUGGUGUCGAUAGAUAUUUUUCAUUUGUAUUUAAAGUCAUCUUAUGUCCUAAUUCAGAUUAUUCAUCUCCGAAUAUUUAUUUACAAAUUCAUAGGAUUCGCAUUUUUAGCAAAAUUUUGUUUUAUACCUAGAACUUGAAUAAAAAUCUUUACUUGAAAAAAUUGACUUACUGAUGUAGCAACUGGAAAAUAGGUCAGGUGAACAAUGCAUCUCCAUCUACAAUUUGAGAUUAAGUUCAUAGAAUCGUUAAAAAAUACAUUGGUAAUUAAUUAAAAAAUUAUUUUAAAGGCAACCCAAAUGUGAUUCUUAAAAUUCAAUAAUUUUAUUAUACAUUAAUUUAUAAUUACAUAAUAAUAUAAAAUAACUUAAUGUCAAUAUAUUUUAAUUAAAUUAUAUACGCAUUAAAAAAUUAAUAAUAUAAUAUAAAAAUAACUCAAACUUGAGGUGUCUCUUAUUCUAUAAUUAAUAAUAUAAAAAUAACUUAAACUUUCAUUAAAUCGUAUGCAUGUUAAACUAAUAAACAUAAGUUUGAGGUAUCUCUUAAUUAGAAAUCAAUGAAUAACAAAAUCAUUUAUAGUGAAAGAAGUAUAUUAAAUGAAAAAGUAGAUUUAGAUUUUUCAGAUAUUUACAAUGUAGGUACAGACAAUACAUACAUUUGUUGGAGUAAACUUCAAAAAGUAAAUCUUUCUUCAACUAUUUGAAUUCAAUGCCAUUCAAGUUUCAUACAAAAUUAUAAAGGUUAAAACAAGCAACUUUCCAGGGUAAAAAGCAUUCUCUCAACUAAUUUUCUACAAAAUAGAUUAUGCUUACAAAAUCCAAAACGAUCCCAAAAUUCAGUCAGAGUACACUUACAUGAUAAAAUCAUUGAAAUAAAUAAUAAACUGGGAAAGAACAAAACCCAGAAACUUUUUCAUUAUAGCAGAUUAAUUACUGCUGGCACCUCGAAAUAUAGAGAAAGUUCAUCAGUUUACGACACAGCCUAUCCAAAAGAGAGCUUCAAGAACAUCUAAGUUGGCUUCCGCAUGUUACGUCCAGCACGAAUCACUUCAUCCACCACCAGUAACUGAGAUACUAUAACUGGCCUGUAUGAUGGGAGGAAAGAAAUGAGGGGGGAAAACUCACACUUACGGUAAUGUUAAUAUGAGAGGAAAAAAAAUACAGAUUACAAUGUAUUUACUUUUUGUUUGGAGAGAGUUGAAAGAAAAGAGAAAUAUUGACUUCUAAAAAGGAAAAAUCAAAUUUCCCUCUCUUUUCACUUUCCCUGCUAUUAAAAUCCGUUUCCUCACUCACUCUCCACCAUACCAUUAGUAAUGGCACUGUUUUACUGUUUUAGUAUUAACACGUUCCUAGUUUCAAAGCCAAACAACAAACUGAAUGUGUCAACAGAUCAAGAUUCAUACCCUGAGUUUAUGAUUUGGCGUUUCACAGAGUAGUUGUCAAAAAUACCCUCCAUUGCAGGGUCUACAGGUUCACCUGUGUUCAGGCUCAACCCCACAAUAUUUCCUUUGUCAUGCUCUCCCUGAAACACCAUUCAGCAAGUACAAUAAUAAUAUAUCACUCUUCUAUUUUAUAUGAGAAUAUCUAUACAAUCACAUUAGGGAAAAAAAAGAUAAGUGGAAUGAGUUUAAGGAAGUAUACCGUGAGGGCAAUAAUCACAUCUUGAGUGUCAAGCCCAGAGUUUUCAGCAAGUGUCUUAGGCACCACAAGAAGUGCAUCAGCAAAAGCCGCAACACCAAGUUGUGCACGCUGUUUCAAGAUUAUAAACAUCAGAGUUGAAAAUUGAAUAAGUAAAUACAAUUAAACAAGAAAAACAUGGACAACCAGAGACUCGUAAUUUACCCCUUCAACUGUUUUCUUAACUUCGUUCAUCAGAUAUUGUCUAGCAGCAACUUCAAAUGCACCAGCACCCUGAUCAUGGGAAAGAAAAUUCUCUUCAAAUCAAUUACAAUCACAAAAAAAUUGCACAAAGAGUUCGUUAUUGGAGAUAUAUUAAUUUUAGCUUCGGUUUUUCGCAUGUAAAAAGCUUCCUUGUAGUUGUACUGAUUUCUUUCCAACAAUUAACUACUUGAGUGGAUUCAACAAUAAGCUCAAAAUUACUCAAUCAACGAUGGGUAGGAACAAAUCAAGUUAUUUAACCUAAAUUUAUGUAAAAGCACAUUAUUUUUCUUCUAAUUGAAUUCAUUAAUCAACUCAAGCACACAUUUGCAAUAAUGUGAGAUCGAGUUUCUGGUUUAUUUCGUUAUAAACGUGCUGAAAGCAUGUCCAAUCCUACAAUAAUCUUUUCUCUUUAAUCUAAUAAAUUAUAAACAACACAGUAGCUGCAAUGCUAGGUCCAGAAUUUCUUCUAUAGGGUAAAUUCAUUUGACUAAGGAAACUAUAACAAGAAAAUGGAGUUAAUCAAUAUGAAUAGCAUGAACAUGCAUAUUACAAAAGAAAAAUGUACAAUUCGUGUAUCAAAAUAAUUGAUUGACAUAAAAAUGUCUUACUAAGACAACAGAUUCGUCUUCAAGGGUAUUCUUAACGGCCCUCAAACCAUCACGUACAGCAUCUUUAAUCUGAGCUAUAGUAUGGUCAUUAGGACCUGUUUCAUCAUGACAGAAUUGCAAAUCUUAAAUACAUUACAGGAAAUAAAAUGACAGUUUCUUCAAAAGUCAAGUCAGAGCAAAAAUAAUAAAUAGCAAAAAAGGAUCUGAUUAACAAACGCAGAUUAGGUGAAAGGACAAUUUACCUUUAAUCAAGAUUGUGCAGGAAAAAGGAUUCUUAACAUUUUCUAUGAAUGUAUAUUUCUCUUCACCAAGGACAUGUUCAUAUACCAAACCUGCCCAACCAAGACAUUCAGGAGUCAAAUCAUCUACCGAGUUUACUGCCUCUCCUCCACAGGCCAAAACCAAUCUUUCCAUGUUUCUUCUCUUUGCUCUCCGUAGGCCAAUUAUCUAACACAAAAGGUCAAAAAAUAAGCAGAUGAAAAACAGGAUAGGGAUUGUCCAACUGAUGUCAGCUUAUGAGAGUUUACUUCGUGCUACAUUAGCAACAUGAAAUUUGUGUCAUGAGAUAUUUAACAUCACAGACAUUAUUAUAAUCAAAACAUACAGUCUUCAAGGAUCACCCAAUGGCUUUCGCUCAUAGAAAAAAUUAACCUCUGAAUUUUAACCUAGGGACAGGUCCUGGUUUUAGCUGAAUCAGUGCAAACCGACAGUCUUCAAUAAAAACUAUCUUCAAACUUCAUGCGUAAAUAAUCUAGCAAUUUGAUCAGACCACACUGGGGCAUGGUCAUUAUUUAUUGGUAAAACAAUUAAUUUCAAAAAUAUGUUUAUAACUUUCUAUGUAUUUUAAUUUGGAAUAUUUAAGACAUUUCAAACUGGGUUCUUCCUUCAACCAAUAAAAGAAAAUUAUGCCUACUGGUCAUUUUCAGCCUAUUUGUGCAUCAUUACCUAAAUAACUGAAAAGUGAAAUGAAAUUUCCAAGAGUACUUAUACAUUAUAUAGUCAUCUUCCCAAUAUUUAAGUUUUAAAAAACCUGAAUGUGAUGGUAUGCUACUUACUCCUUCCCUUGCAAGGAGGUCCAGUGAUGGAGGAUCAAUUCCCUUUUGGUUGAUGACAACAAAGUUGGUAUUAUCAUCAGUGCAAACCUGCAUACACAUACAUGAAGUUAUAUAGUCAGGAGCAGUGAAAUAAAAUCAAGCUAUUGAUGAGAGAUGGAUCAAGAAAAAGGGGGUUCCAACAAUAAUCCAGAGACGAUUAGUAUAUCUAUUUUACAGAAACAUGAAAUAACAUUAUUAUGUUAUUGGCAAUAUAGCAGACCAGAUUAACAUGUAAAAAUCAAUACAUACAGGGAGCAAAACUUCUCUACCUUAUUCUUCAGUUCAAUGAUUUUCUUGACCCUCUCAUCAACCUGCCGUCUUUCAGCAGCAACCAUAGCCUCUCUCUGUUCCGCAUUUGAGUAGAAAAAACCUGAAUUUACCUCACUGGGAGAAGAAAACAUUGACUUCAUUAGUCUUACAGACAUCAAACAUAGUUCAGAUAGGCCAAACAUCUGAUAGUGAAAACCACACAAUGUAUAUACAUCAUUGACUUAAAGUGAUAUAACUGUCGACAAAACAGUGUGUUGAUGGGUUGAAAUUAUUAAUUUUACCAUUACAAAGUUUGCAUGGUUGAAAUAAAUAAAUAAAAAUAGAUUUCCCUUUAUUAAUACAUAUAAGCUUGGUUUGUUCUAGGUUAAAACCGGUUUUUCUAGAAAGAGAAAGCAGGUAAUUCAGAUUAAAAGAAAAGACAAUUGAUGUGGCAAUACCUAAUUUUCUUACAUAGUAAAUGAAUACUUUAUUUGUUUCAGGUCAACUAAACCUUCCUUAGUAAAACAGAGUAAACAUAUAACCAACACUAAUGGUAACAUAUCAUGUCAUGUGAGCUUACUCAUUUUAUGUUUCAGGUUAACUAAGCCUACCUUGGUAAACCAGAGUAAACAUAAAACCAGCACUAAUGGUAACAUUUCAUGUCAUGUGAGCUUACUGAUUUUAUUAUCCAACAUAAACAAUAGUGUGUCUGAAGUAAAGACAUACACAAUCAACAAAUAGAGACUAGAGACUGAUAACAUGUGAUAUUGGUAAACACUAAAAACAAUACAUAGUAAUUAAACGGUUUAUACAUUAAUUUCAACAAUAUGUCUACCAUUCAUAAUUUAUCACACUGUCAUACUUAGAUAAAUAUGAUAAUGUGAUAAAUUAUGAAUAGCACUAACAUGUUUGGAUUACAGGUAAAAGGAAUCAAAUGACAGCCAUAACACAAAUUGGAAGAUAUUGACAAAUAUCAGGCUGAUUACCUCUUCUCAUAUUCCAAAGAUACAUUACACGUUAAGAUAUAGCAAUUCUCUGCCCGACGCUUCAUGUCAGGGUGUCUUGAACCAUGAUCAAGGACAAGACCCUCAACCUAGAAAAUACAGAGGAAUGAACUGAGUGGGAGCAAGAACCGCACAACCCAAAACAUAAGGUGCAUUAAAAUAAUAUAAUUAUAACUGAAGUAAGACAAUCAAGGUAAGUUACAGUUAAAUAUGGUUUGCUAUUUGCGAUAUUGCUACUACAGAGCCCAGGUAUUAUAGAUUUGUUUAUUCAUGAUUUAUUUGAGUUCAAAAAAUUAUAAAUAACAGAAACUCUCUACUUUACUUUGUUUUUCAUGAUUUAUUUAUUUGAGUUCAGAAGCUCUCUAAUCAGAAGAUAGUCCACUACAACUAUGCUUCAGCUCUCUAUAGAAGCUCUCUUCAUAAUGCUUCCUCUGGCUAUUUCUCUCAAGAGAAACAUAUUAAACACAAGGCCACUAUCAACUAUCAAUUUGGUAAUCACAACCAAACGCAAUUGUUAUCAGUUAUGACUUACAGUAGCACACAGACCAUGAAUUAUAUGGCCUAUCUUAGUUAGCCAAGGAGAUAAGCAAGAUGUGAAGAAUGUCAGCACAACUUAUGCAAUAAGAGGAUAACCUGCCCAGAGGUUAAAUUCGAAUCUCAUCAAGAUUCCAAACUUUUAGAAAAUGGUCUGAAGGAUAUAUUCAAAGAUGAAGAUGAUGAAAAACUACCCUUACCCUUCAUCAACUUGCUAUACUGAGUUACUAACUACUAUCUAGGAGAAUGCGAGCCUGUUCAAUAUACACCGAAUGGCAGUGAACAAAGAAAUGCUUGGUAGGAGACAGUAGAAAUGGAUUUAAUUUAUCAAUUCUUGAUUUAUGGUACAUAAGAGGGAAAAUAUGAUUGAAAAUUAUUUAAAAUAGCUUCUUGUUAAAAACUUCUUUUACAAGUACAGAUUUUUUUUAUAUUAGCCAGGAUAUGAAUCUAUAUCCAUAAAGCAAGAUGAGCAACAAAGCUUAAAGAUUGACAUACCAAAUGCACAAGAACUAUAGACUAAAUGUUAAAAACUUUUUCAUAUUUGGUAAUAACUGAGCUGAGAGCACCAAACUGUAAUAAUUAAAGCUAUAAUAACAACAAAACUAUAUAUGAAUUGAUUUCAGCACAAGAUGGAUAGCUUUUGAUCAUAACAAGCAAACAGUCCCUCUCAACACGAAACUAUCAUGCACUAACUAGAUCUCAAUCCUGCAUUUAGAGAAAAUCCACCCUGACUGGUUUUCAACAAAGGAAGAUAAGCAUAAUGAUUUCAACCAAAACAAAGUCAAGUCCUUGAUAAACUGUUACUAUCAUAAAAAAUAGGCAAACUUAUUCCUCAUCACAUCCCAACUUAUGCUUGACUAAUAUUAAGUUGAGAAUUUUAGAUGCUGUCAAAAGAUGGAAAUGUAAUAACGUGAACAUCCAGGUUGUACACAAUAUAUGUAAUAUGAAAUUUAAAAAAAUUAUCAAAAUAGUAUACAAAUUACUGGAAAAGUGUGGCUGCAAACAGUCAUUCAUAAAACAUACCAAGCGUGUGUCAACAUCAAACUUGUGUCGCAUAUGCAUAAUCUCCACCAUAAAAAGAUCAAUUUCCUCCUCAGGCUUCCGGAUGCAUAAAACCUAUCAUAGCAAAAACCACAAAAAGUUCCGGGUCAAUUAAGCAGCAAAAUGUACAUCUUUAAAUAACCAAACAAACAUGAAAAUAAAAUUUUCAUAUUUAUAAGGAAUCAAAGUUAAAAUGUCUAAAAUUCAAUAUAAACUCACCGCAUUAACAAUUAUGUCAGUCAAUUGAUCUGCAAGUGAUUCAUGCAACUGCAAAUGAUGAGGAAAUAUACGGUGAGAACAUCAUGCGUGUUAAAAAGUUAUGUUGAGAAGUUAUUAUUCACUCUGUCUGCAGUAUCAAUGUAUGAUCAAAUUUGAGCAAAAAACGGAUAAUAUAAAAUGAGUUUUACCUUUGUCCUCACGGUUGUUCUAGCUACCAUCUUGAGAAUCUCUUUAUCAGGCUCACCACCCAUCACAACAGGAGUCUUAAACUUUUCAAGGAAUUGCAGAGUUGCUCUCUUUGCAAUAUCAAAACCAUCAACCAACACGCGUGGAUGCAUACCUAGAAUAUCCAUAUAUCAUCUCAGCAUUAGCAAAGGAUGAAAUGACAGAUAAGGCAUCAAAACGAGAAAGGCUCAUCCCUCAUUUUGAGGAUGUUUAUUUGCCCCAAAUCCUACAACUGAAUAGAAUAGGAUAGCAUUUAAUGCCUCUCUUUUGUAAACAAUUCAUGGCCGUUUCAACUGUGAAGGGGAUCACACCUGCUGAAUCGCAAAGAAACUGCACUCCCUAGUUACACUCAUGUUCUCACAUCUUUUGCGCAUUCAGUCUUGUUUCUUCUAAAAUCUGUUUUAGAGGAUAUUGUACCAUCACCUAGUAGCGUUUUUCAUCUUCUCUCAAGCCAAAAAAUCGUCUUCUCAAAAAUUUUCCCUUAAUAACUAUAAGAAAUCACCACCAGUAGAAAAUUAACGGCAGUUUCAUAGUAAUAAAACUGUUCAUAUAGAUAAAUAGUCUUCUUUCUUUUAAAAUCUACUUUAAAGGUUAUCAUAUCGUCAUCCUAGUUGCAUUUUACCUCUUCUCUCUGUAGCAAAAAAUACCCUCAUCUCUAAUAAAAAAACCAACUAACCACAAGAAAUCACCACUUAAUCACAAAAAACAGUAAGAAAGUUCAUACUAAUAAAGCUGGAAAGCUGGAUAAAGAUAAACAGUCACAUGUUAGAGUGUACGCCUACGAACACACAAAGAGAACAAGCAAUGCAAAGAAAAACUCAGAAACAAAUGCAAACUCCAACAGAGACUCAAACUCACUAACCUUCAUCAAUGUAACGUUCCGACUGCUUCAUAAGUUCGCCAAUGAAGAUGACAGUGGAAGUGGUGCCGUCUCCGCUAGCGUCAUCCUGCGCCACAGCGGUCCUCGCAAUCAUAAUCGCCGUCGGGUUCUGGAUUUGCUGAGAUCACAACAAACAAGAUCAAAACACGUUCCGCCGUAACGGUUUUCAAGUGCUCGUAGUAGCAGAUCUCAAUUAAUAACAGAAAAAAAUGAAGAAAAAAAAAAACUAACCAUCUCUUUCAAGAGAGUGUUGCCAUCUUUGGUAAGCUUAAUAUCACCAGCGCCACCAACG
RNAcentral lists this long non-coding RNA (16327 nucleotides) under Phaseolus vulgaris (common bean). RNAcentral's name for it is "long non-coding RNA (PVUL_LNC001361)". The record is from RNAcentral. Lineage: Eukaryota; Viridiplantae; Streptophyta; Magnoliopsida; Fabales; Fabaceae.